CUCCCACUUGCAUCCUCUUCCUCCUUCUCCUCCUCCUCCUGGAGCACAAUGAUGUAGACCACGACUUGCAGCAGCAUCCCUCCAGGCUGCUCGGGGCUCCUGGGGCUUCGCCAUAGGGACGCCAACACCAGAUGGGACGGAGAAGACCCUGGGACAUCACCAUCCUGCUGCUGUGCAUUGGUCCUGCGCUACUGGUGAAGAACACGCUGCUGGGAGGGGAAAAGGAGCAAAGCAAGGAAAGGCAGUCUCGGAGCGCAGGAAAUGUGUGUUAAUGGCUUGUGGAUGUCUCUGUCUCCCACAUGAUGGAAUUGCCGGUGCCGGGCUGUUUUUGACAGCCUGUCUUUUCCAUGUUUUUAAAAUAUUCAUGCCCCGAAAUCUAAUUACCAGCAAAUUUCAUGCUAAUGAAGGGAAGGCUUCGGCUUCCCUCUGCCUCCCUCUUGUUCGCGGUGCUCUAAGAGAGCUCUUUCUUUCUUCCCCACUGCUUUUCUUGCAUGGCAAACCCAACCCCAAGCGAAGGAUCGCCGACAAUAAAGCUUGGCUUGCUCAA
Long non-coding RNA from Pezoporus flaviventris, 547 nucleotides. RefSeq lists it as uncharacterized. Lineage: Eukaryota; Metazoa; Chordata; Aves; Psittaciformes; Psittacidae. The record is from RefSeq and is a predicted model, not a curated record. The transcript is spliced from 2 exons.